This 75-nucleotide transfer RNA is filed under the name Pseudonocardia sp. HH130629-09. RNAcentral describes it as "tRNA-Val". It matches the Rfam family "tRNA". From Rfam's summary of the family: Transfer RNA (tRNA) molecules are approximately 80 nucleotides in length. Their secondary structure includes four short double-helical elements and three loops (D, anti-codon, and T loops). The record is from RNAcentral. Lineage: Bacteria; Bacillati; Actinomycetota; Actinomycetes; Pseudonocardiales; Pseudonocardiaceae.
GCGCGAUUAGCUCAGCGGGAGAGCACUACCUUGACACGGUAGGGGUCACUGGUUCAAUCCCAGUAUUGCGCACCA